Molecule: ribosomal RNA, 449 nt
Filed under: uncultured bacterium
Lineage: Bacteria
Description: bacterial SSU rRNA
Rfam family: Bacterial small subunit ribosomal RNA
Source: RNAcentral
AACGAACGCUGGCGGCAUGCCUAACACAUGCAAGUCGAACGAGACCUUCGGGUCUAGUGGCGCACGGGUGCGUAACGCGUGGGAAUCUGCCCUUCGGUUCGGAACAACAGUUAGUAAUGACUGCUAAUACCGGAUAAUGACGUAAGUCCAAAGAUUUAUCGCCGAAGGAUGAGCCCGCGUAAGAUUAGGUAGUUGGUGGGGUAAUGGCCUACCAAGCCGACGAUCUUUAGCUGGUCUGAGAGGAUGAUCAGCCACACUGGGACUGAGACACGGCCCAGACUCCUACGGGAGGCAGCAGUGGGGAAUAUUGGACAAUGGGCGAAAGCCUGAUCCAGCAAUGCCGCGUGAGUGAUGAAGGCCUUAGGGUUGUAAGCUCUUUUACCAGGGAUGAUAAUGACAGUACCUGGAGAAUAAGCUCCGGCUAACUCCGUGCCAGCAGCCGCGGUAAU